Molecule: ribosomal RNA, 1349 nt
Filed under: uncultured bacterium
Lineage: Bacteria
Description: bacterial SSU rRNA
Rfam family: Bacterial small subunit ribosomal RNA
Source: RNAcentral
GACGAACGCUGGCGGCGUGCCUAAUACAUGCAAGUAGAACGCUGAAGGAGGAGCUUGCUUCUCUGGAUGAGUUGCGAACGGGUGAGUAACGCGUAGGUAACCUGCCUUUAACUCUGGGAUAAGCCUGGGAAACUGGGUCUAAUACCGGAUACGACCAAUCUCCGCAUGGGGUGUUGGUGGAAAGCGUUAUGUAGUGGUUAUAGAUGGGCUCACGGCCUAUCAGCUUGUUGGUGAGGUAACGGCUCACCAAGGCGACGACGGGUAGCCGGCCUGAGAGGGUGACCGGCCACACUGGGACUGAGACACGGCCCAGACUCCUACGGGAGGCAGCAGUGGGGAAUAUUGCACAAUGGGCGCAAGCCUGAUGCAGCGACGCCGCGUGAGGGAUGACGGCCUUCGGGUUGUAAACCUCUGUUAGCAGGGAAGAAGAGAAAUUGACGGUACCUGCAGAGAAAGCGCCGGCUAACUACGUGCCAGCAGCCGCGGUAAUACGUAGGGCGCGAGCGUUGUCCGGAAUUAUUGGGCGUAAAGAGCUUGUAGGCGGUUUGUCGCGUCUGCUGUGAAGGCCGGGGCUUAACCCCGUGUAUUGCAGUGGGUACGGGCAGACUAGAGUGCAGUAGGGGAGACUGGAAUUCCUGGUGUGGCGGUGGAAUGCGCAGAUAUCAGGAGGAACACCGAUGGCGAAGGCAGGUCUCUGGGCUGUAACUGACGCUGAGAAGCGAAAGCAUGGGGAGCGAACAGGAUUAGAUACCCUGGUAGUCCAUGCCGUAAACGUUGGGCACUAGGUGUGGGGAACAUUCCACGUUUUCCGCGCCGUAGCUAACGCAUUAAGUGCCCCGCCUGGGGAGUACGGCCGCAAGGCUAAAACUCAAAGAAAUUGACGGGGGCCCGCACAAGCGGCGGAGCAUGCGGAUUAAUUCGAUGCAACGCGAAGAACCUUACCAAGGCUUGACAUAUACUGGACCGCAUCAGAGAUGGUGUUUCCCUUCGGGGCUGGUGUACAGGUGGUGCAUGGUUGUCGUCAGCUCGUGUCGUGAGAUGUUGGGUUAAGUCCCGCAACGAGCGCAACCCUCGUUCUAUGUUGCCAGCACGUAAUGGUGGGGACUCAUAGGAGACUGCCGGGGUCAACUCGGAGGAAGGUGGGGAUGACGUCAAAUCAUCAUGCCCCUUAUGUCUUGGGCUUCACGCAUGCUACAAUGGCCGGUACAGAGGGUUGCGAUACUGUGAGGUGGAGCUAAUCCCUAAAAGCCGGUCUCAGUUCGGAUUGGGGUCUGCAACUCGACCCCAUGAAGUCGGAGUCGCUAGUAAUCGCAGAUCAGCAACGCUGCGGUGAAUACGUUCCCGGGCCU